RNAcentral lists this ribosomal RNA (610 nucleotides) under uncultured bacterium. RNAcentral describes it as "bacterial SSU rRNA". It matches the Rfam family "Bacterial small subunit ribosomal RNA", at positions 338 to 1414 of the family's 1533-position model. The record is from RNAcentral.
CCUACGGGAGGCAGCAGUGGGGAAUAUUGCACAAUGGGCGGAAGCCUGAUGCAGCGACGCCGCGUGAGGGACGAAGGCCUUCGGGUUGUAAACCUCUUUCAGCAGGGACGAAGCGUGAGUGACGGUACCUGCAGAAGAAGCACCGGCUAACUACGUGCCAGCAGCCGCGGUAAUACGUAGGGUGCGAGCGUUGUCCGGAAUUACUGGGCGUAAAGAGUUCGUAGGCGGUUUGUCGCGUCGUUUGUGAAAACCCGGGGCUCAACUUCGGGCUUGCAGGCGAUACGGGCAGACUUGAGUGUUUCAGGGGAGACUGGAAUUCCUGGUGUAGCGGUGAAAUGCGCAGAUAUCAGGAGGAACACCGGUGGCGAAGGCGGGUCUCUGGGAAACAACUGACGCUGAGGAACGAAAGCGUGGGUAGCAAACAGGAUUAGAUACCCUGGUAGUCCACGCCGUAAACGGUGGGCGCUAGGUGUGGGUUCCUUCCACGGGAUCUGUGCCGUAGCUAACGCAUUAAGCGCCCCGCCUGGGGAGGUACGGCCGCGAGACGUAAACUUAAACGUAAGUUAGUACGGCGUGAGACGUGCCGAACGGACGACGACGAGGGAGUAGG